This is a long non-coding RNA of Astatotilapia calliptera (eastern happy), 1244 nucleotides long. The record is from Ensembl. Lineage: Eukaryota; Metazoa; Chordata; Actinopteri; Cichliformes; Cichlidae.
CCUGGUUGUGUUUUUAACUGUAUUUUUUUUUUAUUGUACUUUAAUUGAUUCUCAUAGCUCAAACACAGCUAUUGAUCCAUUUAUGACAAGCUGAUCAUUCUGAAGCUUUCAGCAAAGUGAACUCUGGCAUGACAACAUGAAUUCACCUUACACAGCUGUGCAGUAUUACCCUGAGUUUCCCUUUCGGCGGUAAGUACCUAAAGGUUGUUGAAAUUGAUGACCUAUACUCACACGUACUUAUAGGGUAGACUGUAUUGAGGUCAUGUUUUUUUGCCUAAUUAGUUAAACAAUAUGUGUUGCGUGGAUUCGAAGUGUAGCUAUACUCCUUCAUAAUGAGCCUUACAUUAAGUUUAAAAGAAUGAUGUAGGACUUGCUGGCUGGGAAUCUCCCUGCUCCUGUUUGACCCGCGCUGCAGUUCACGCUGUCUGGAGGUCCAAAACGGCCUGAGAACAGUUGUGUCUGCCUGGAUCCUCAGCUGCUGCUGCUCGGUCCUGAUAUAUUUAUAAGGGCAGCAUACUUAUGGCAGCAAUGCAUGUGUAAAGGGCAAUCAGGGCUGAAGGCAGGCAGAUUACAUGACAUCUGGAGGUCCUCUUCUGGAGAUUUUUGAACCUCAAUGGGAGUGCAUGUGCUAGUACUGUAGCUCUAUAGGCUUUGAUAAUUGCACAUGUUUUGCACCAAAACUACCUACAUGAGUGUUUCUUCUCUCAUUCUAAAAUAUUUAAAUUCUUUAAAUUCUUUGCAGAUUGGAUGUGUUCUGUGUGCUUUUUGCCCCUUUAAAUUUACCAUCACAGCACUCUUGUAGUUGAGUUUAACAGUUACAUUUGUAAUUUUUUUUUUUUAGUUUUUCUGUUUUGCUUGAUGACAAUUUUGACCGUUCUGGCUGUGGCACAAAUUUGAAAACAAUGUAACUGUUUUUGAAAAGGGAUGAAAAGUAUCUUCCUUGGCCUGUAAAUCCCUCCACCUGUCUUGUAUCCUUUGCCUUCUACGCCUUACCUUCCCUCUUGCACCAGAUGAUCAAAAUAAAAGGAGGAGAAACUCUGGGGCUUUCUAUUGUUUUUCACUCGUGUCCCUUUUCCAGCCUCGGCUGACGGAUGAGGGGGAGAAGGUCUUAGGCCUUUGAAAAGUGAUUAAUAAUGACACUGGAGAAGGACCCCGAUCGGCUGGGCUGUUUGUUUUGAUUGCAUUUUCAUCGGUCGGUGUGCACAACCUGCCAAGAGACAAUAGCCAUCCCUGUUUAGUGCUGA